UAGGGAAUCUUCCACAAUGGACGCAAGUCUGAUGGAGCAACGCCGCGUGAGUGAAGAAGGUCUUCGGAUCGUAAAACUCCGUUGUUAGAGAAGAACACGAGUGAGAGUAACUGUUCAUUCGAUGACGGUAUCUAACCAGCAAGUCACGGCUAACUACGCGCCAG
Molecule: ribosomal RNA, 164 nt
Filed under: uncultured bacterium
Lineage: Bacteria
Description: partial 16S rRNA
Rfam family: Bacterial small subunit ribosomal RNA
Source: RNAcentral